Molecule: long non-coding RNA, 1105 nt
Filed under: Marmota monax (woodchuck)
Lineage: Eukaryota; Metazoa; Chordata; Mammalia; Rodentia; Sciuridae
Source: RNAcentral
UGCCUGAAGUCACACUCCUAGACAUUACUCCCAUAGCAACAAAUAACACUAAAGUUGUGCACACCACACCUAUGAGAGAUCUCUCAUUAUAGAUCACUCCCAUAUCCUUUCAGACCACACAUUGCUGACAAGACUGAAGUAAGGACAGUGGGUGCACCCCACACACUUUGUUGUCUACAGUGCACCUGCCUGAACUACCAGAGGGUCCCCACUCUUAGAAGACCUACAGAAAAAGCUGCUCACUCAGGCUCUAAUAACAGCAAAGAACCCAGUGGAAAAAUAUACUAUGAAAUCCAGUAAAACUUAGCACUACACAAUGAACAGAUACCACAGGGCACAUCAUCAAGAGAAGGUUGCUCCCUAAAGAGGCUUUCACAUACGUGUGGAGGAGAUAUUCAUCUCAACAGACAGACAGAUUUCAGCACAGAACACAAGAAAUAUGGAUAAACAAGACAACACGACUUCUUCUCUAAAGUUUGUAACUCUAGUAACUGAUUCCAAAGACACUGAUGUAGAUGAAUGCCAAAGAAUUCAAAAUAAUGAUUUAAUAAAAAUGAUCAGUGAAUUCAAAGGAGAUAAAAAUAAACAGUUGAAUGAAUCAAGGAAGCAACGCACGAUCUGAAAGAGCAAUUCAACAAAGAGAGAUUCUGAAAACAAAACCAAGAAAUUUUGGAAUUGAAGAGCUCAAUAAAUCAAAUAAAAAACUCAGUUGAAAGCUUUGCCAAUAGACUAGAUGAAGUGUAGGAAAGAAUAACAGGGCUGGAAGACAAGGUUGAUGCAUUAUCACAUUCAGACAGUAAUAAAGAAAAAAUAAUUGAAAAGAAUAAACAGAACAUAUAAUAUCUAUGGGAUACCAUUAAAAAACAAACAUGUAUAAUUGGAAUAGACAGAGUCAAAGACCUACAGGUUGAAGACAUAGAAAACCUUUUUAGUAUCCACAUAUCAGAAUUACUCUACUCCAUCUGCAUCAUGUACAAAUACAAGAAUAGGAUCCUGUUUAGAAUAAAUUACACUCCAUGUAUGUCAAAUAUGCCAAAACACACUUUCCUGCAUAUCUAAAAAGAACAAAAUUUUAAAGACCUUUUUAGUGAAAUAAUAGCAGAAA